GACGAACGCUGGCGGCGUGCUUAACACAUGCAAGUCGAACGGAAAGGCCCUGCUUUUGUGGGGUGCUCGAGUGGCGAACGGGUGAGUAACACGUGAGUAACCUGCCCUUGACUUUGGGAUAACUCCAGGAAACUGGGGCUAAUACCGGAUAGGAGCUCAUGCUGCAUGGUGGGGGUUGGAAAGUUUCGGCGGUUGGGGAUGGACUCGCGGCUUAUCAGCUUGUUGGUGGGGUAGUGGCUUACCAAGGCUGUGACGGGUAGCCGGCCUGAGCGGGUGACCGGCCACAAUGGGACUGAGAUACGGCCCAGACUCCUACGGGAGGCAGCAGUGGGGAAUAUUGCACAAUGGGCGGAAGCCUGAUGCAGCAACGCCGCGUGCGGGAUGACGGCCUUCGAGUUGUAAACCGCUUUCGCCUGUGACGAAGCGUGAGUGACGGUAAUGGGUAAAGAAGCACCGGCUAACUACGUG
Molecule: ribosomal RNA, 468 nt
Filed under: uncultured bacterium
Lineage: Bacteria
Description: partial 16S ribosomal RNA
Rfam family: Bacterial small subunit ribosomal RNA
Source: RNAcentral